RNAcentral lists this unclassified non-coding RNA (418 nucleotides) under uncultured Spizellomycetales. RNAcentral describes it as "sequence contains ITS2". The record is from RNAcentral. Lineage: Eukaryota; Fungi; Chytridiomycota; Chytridiomycetes; Spizellomycetales.
AACGCACAUUGCGCUUCCUGGUUACUCCGGGAAGCAUGCCUGUUUGAGAAUCGAUAAACACUCUCAACAAUCAUGUUUUUUUUUCUUCGGAAGAAAAACAUGUGAGUUGGGGAUUUGGGUGCAUUUUUGUUAUCCAGACUCUUCACGGGGUCCGGCGCAAUCACCUGCAAAUGAACAUUCGGGGGCAAUCCAACAGUGGUUUUGCAUCUCACCUAAGUGUGUGAAUGAGGUUCAGUCCUUUUUACUUUCUUGGUGUGAAGAUGCAUGCUUAUGAUCAUCUGUAUACGAUUCUCCUUGUCAAAAUGUCCAUCUUUUUGUUUUGAUGGACAACUGGAAUCGGGCCCGGGAAAGCAGUUUCCCAUCGCCUGGUUCCUUUAUACUUGGUCUCAAAUCAGGUAGGAAAACCCGCUGAACUUAA